AUUGCUUCUUAUUUCUGCAUAAUUUUUUCAAAUAGUGCGCUAUUGAUAAUUUAGACUGCUUAUGGUAGUUUACUUUAGUUGCUAACAGAUGGGCAUUAUUGCUGCAGCAGUUUAGCAAUGACAGUAUCAUUUAUGAAAACAGACUUUUUGGAUGUAACUUUUCUAAGAGUUAUUUUUGUGAUUUUAGUUAAUUGAGUUACACGAAUCAAAUUCUUGUAAAGUGAUUUUCAAUGCAGAAUUUAGUGCUGAAGACGAUGGUGUUAAUGGAAUUGCGAUAUUUUUAAUAUUACGGGUUUUGUGAAUGUUUUCUUAAAAAAGUACUCGUGGGGUUAGGCAGCCAACGCUAAAUUUUUCGUCUUUUUGUGUUGAUUUU
Long non-coding RNA from Leptopilina heterotoma, 373 nucleotides. RefSeq lists it as uncharacterized. The transcript has 3 exons. NCBI's taxonomy places the organism in Eukaryota, Metazoa, Arthropoda, Insecta, Hymenoptera, Figitidae. The record is from RefSeq and is a predicted model, not a curated record.